This 253-nucleotide ribosomal RNA is filed under the name uncultured bacterium. RNAcentral describes it as "partial 16S ribosomal RNA". It matches the Rfam family "Bacterial small subunit ribosomal RNA", at positions 524 to 776 of the family's 1533-position model. The record is from RNAcentral.
UACGUAGGGGGCAAGCAUUGUCCGGAUUUAUUGGGCGUAAAGAGCGUGUAGGCGGCCUGACAGGUCAGCUGUGAAAACUCGAGGCUCAACCUCGAGACGUCGGUUGAAACCAUCUGGCUAGAGUCCGGAAGAGGAGUGUGGAAUUCCCGGUGUAGCGGUGAAAUGCGCAGAUAUCGGGAAGAACACCCGUGGCGAAGGCGGCACUCUGGGACGGUACUGACGCUGAGACGCGAAAGCGUGGGGAGCGAACAGG